UNNGGGGGGGAAACCCUUGAUUCAGCAAAGCCGCGUGAGUGAAGAAGGCCUUUGGGUUGUAAAGCUCUUUCCUCGGGGAAAAAAUGACUGUACCCGAAUAAGAAGGUCCGGCUAACUUCCUGCCAGCAGCCGCGGUAAUACGAAGGGACCUAUCGUAUUUCGGAAUUACUGGGCUUAAAGAGUUCGUAGGUGGUUGAAAAAGUUGGUGGUGAAAUCCCAGAGCUUAACUCUGGAACUGCCAUCAAAACUUUUCAGCUAGAGUUUGAUAGAGGAAAGCAGAAUUUCUAGUGUAGAGGUGAAAUUCGUAGAUAUUAGAAAGAAUACCCCUUGCGAAGGCAGCUUUCUGGAUCAUUACUGACACUGAGGAACGAAAGCGUGGGUAGCGCAGAGGAUUAGAUACCCUCGUAGUCCAUGCCGUAAACGAUGUGUGUUAGACGUUGGAAAUUUAUUUUCUGUGUCGCAGCGAAAGCGAUAAACACACCGCCUGGGGAGUACGACCGCCAGGUUAAAACUCAAAUGAAUUGAC
Molecule: ribosomal RNA, 526 nt
Filed under: uncultured Kordiimonas sp.
Lineage: Bacteria; Pseudomonadati; Pseudomonadota; Alphaproteobacteria; Kordiimonadales; Kordiimonadaceae
Description: bacterial SSU rRNA
Rfam family: Bacterial small subunit ribosomal RNA
Source: RNAcentral